Molecule: non-coding RNA, 150 nt
Organism: Caenorhabditis elegans
Lineage: Eukaryota; Metazoa; Nematoda; Chromadorea; Rhabditida; Rhabditidae
Source: Ensembl
ACCAACACAUAGGCCAAGUCUUAGGCCUAGUCUUAGUUUUACGCUUAGACAAAGACGCAGGCUUAGGCGUAGGCCUAGGCUUAAGCUUAGGCUUAGGCUCAGGCAUAGGCUUAGGCUUAGGCUUAGGCGUAGGCUUUGGCUUAGGUUUAG